Molecule: ribosomal RNA, 253 nt
Filed under: uncultured bacterium
Lineage: Bacteria
Description: partial 16S ribosomal RNA
Rfam family: Bacterial small subunit ribosomal RNA
Source: RNAcentral
UACGUAGGGGGCAAGCGUUGUCCGGAUUUAUUGGGCGUAAAGAGCGUGUAGGCGGCCAUACAGGUCAGCUGUGAAAACUCGAGGCUCAACCUCGAGACGUCGGUUGAAACCGUAUGGCUAGAGUUCGGAAGAGGAGAGUGGAAUUCCCGGUGUAGCGGUGAAAUGCGCAGAUAUCGGGAAGAACACCCGUGGCGAAGGCGGCUCUCUGGGACGGUACUGACGCUGAGACGCGAAAGCGUGGGGAGCGAACAGG